UACGUAGGGGGCAAGCGUUGUCCGGAUUUAUUGGGCGUAAAGAGCGUGUAGGCGGCCAGACAGGGCUGCUGUGAAAACUCGAGGCUCAACCUCGAGAUGUCGGCGGAAACCUUCUGGCUAGAGUCCGGAAGAGGAGAGUGGAAUUCCUGGUGUAGCGGUGAAAUGCGCAGAUAUCAGGAAGAACACCUAUGGCGAAGGCAGCUCUCUGGGACGGUACUGACGCUGAGACGCGAAAGCGUGGGGAGCGAACAGG
RNAcentral lists this ribosomal RNA (253 nucleotides) under uncultured bacterium. RNAcentral's name for it is "partial 16S ribosomal RNA". It matches the Rfam family "Bacterial small subunit ribosomal RNA", at positions 524 to 776 of the family's 1533-position model. The record is from RNAcentral.